RNAcentral lists this long non-coding RNA (640 nucleotides) under Cebus imitator (Panamanian white-faced capuchin). Its description in RNAcentral is "lncRNA (ENSCCAG00000038170.1)". The record is from RNAcentral. Lineage: Eukaryota; Metazoa; Chordata; Mammalia; Primates; Cebidae.
AUGGAGGUUGGGCCCAGAGGAAGUGGAGUGACAGCAGGUGUAGAAUGGUUUCUGUUUGCUUCUCGGUUCUCAAGUGUUUCCUCUGAUAACAUUCACAGACAGCAGCUCUGCAGGACAGUUACUGCCCACAUGGAGAGCAAGAGCUGCAGAGGAGAAGAAAGGAACACAGGUGGUGAAUUGCAGUGCAUGGUUGGUGAGGACUCAGCAGCAGAGAGGAACAAGACCAGCAGAAGUCACAGGCAGAAAGGGCCAGAAGUACUGAUGUCCGCACCCAUGCCAGGUUAAGUGUGUCAGAUCUACCAUCUGUGUGAAACACCCAUGGAGCAUCUGCUGCUGGACAGGCACCAACAGGACAAGUUUCAGCUCUAAGGUGCCCACAGGGGACAAAGACAAAUCACAUCAUUUACCAUUAGGACAUGAAGUAGAAAUAGUAAAUCCCUUAAGAGAAAAUAGAGGUAAGGGACAUGGAGCUCUAUUUCUUUGUUGCUGAGGCCACGUAAGGAAACUCCAGGGAGAGGAGGGCACUGGAGCUGGAUGGGGAAGGGCAUUCCUGGAGGAAGGAACAGCAUCAGGAAGUGCAGAGGCAGUCUUGAAAGUCAGGGAGGGAGGGUCCUGGGCUGGAACGCAAGGAGGGUGUCAG